This 433-nucleotide ribosomal RNA is filed under the name uncultured bacterium. Its description in RNAcentral is "partial 16S ribosomal RNA". It matches the Rfam family "Bacterial small subunit ribosomal RNA", at positions 29 to 507 of the family's 1533-position model. The record is from RNAcentral.
AACGAACGCUGGCGGCAUGCCUAACACAUGCAAGUCGAACGAGACCUUCGGGUCUAGUGGCGCACGGGUGCGUAACGCGUGGGAACCUGCCCUUAGGUUCGGAAUAACUCCCCGAAAGGGGUGCUAAUACCGGAUAAUGUCUUCGGACCAAAGAUUUUUCGCCUUUGGAUGUGCCCGCGUUGGAUUAGCUGGUUGGUAGGGUAAAAGCCUACCAAGGCGACGAUCCAUAGCUGGUCUGUGAGGAUGGUCAGCCACACUGAGACUGAGACACGGCCCAGACUCCUACGGGAGGCAGCAGUGGGUAAUAGUGGACAGUGGGCGGAAGGCUGAUGCAGCAAUGCCGCGUGAGUGAUGAAGGCCGUAGGGUUGUAAAGCUCUUUUACCCGGGAUGAUAAUGACAGUACCGGGAGAAUAAGCUCCGGCUAACUCCGUG